This 1378-nucleotide ribosomal RNA is filed under the name Staphylococcus aureus M0391. RNAcentral's name for it is "bacterial SSU rRNA". It matches the Rfam family "Bacterial small subunit ribosomal RNA", at positions 8 to 1367 of the family's 1533-position model. Lineage: Bacteria; Bacillati; Bacillota; Bacilli; Caryophanales; Staphylococcaceae. The record is from RNAcentral. RNAcentral also lists the same sequence under 2 other names.
AGAGUUUGAUCCUGGCUCAGGAUGAACGCUGGCGGCGUGCCUAAUACAUGCAAGUCGAGCGAACGGACGAGAAGCUUGCUUCUCUGAUGUUAGCGGCGGACGGGUGAGUAACACGUGGAUAACCUACCUAUAAGACUGGGAUAACUUCGGGAAACCGGAGCUAAUACCGGAUAAUAUUUUGAACCGCAUGGUUCAAAAGUGAAAGACGGUCUUGCUGUCACUUAUAGAUGGAUCCGCGCUGCAUUAGCUAGUUGGUAAGGUAACGGCUUACCAAGGCAACGAUGCAUAGCCGACCUGAGAGGGUGAUCGGCCACACUGGAACUGAGACACGGUCCAGACUCCUACGGGAGGCAGCAGUAGGGAAUCUUCCGCAAUGGGCGAAAGCCUGACGGAGCAACGCCGCGUGAGUGAUGAAGGUCUUCGGAUCGUAAAACUCUGUUAUUAGGGAAGAACAUAUGUGUAAGUAACUGUGCACAUCUUGACGGUACCUAAUCAGAAAGCCACGGCUAACUACGUGCCAGCAGCCGCGGUAAUACGUAGGUGGCAAGCGUUAUCCGGAAUUAUUGGGCGUAAAGCGCGCGUAGGCGGUUUUUUAAGUCUGAUGUGAAAGCCCACGGCUCAACCGUGGAGGGUCAUUGGAAACUGGAAAACUUGAGUGCAGAAGAGGAAAGUGGAAUUCCAUGUGUAGCGGUGAAAUGCGCAGAGAUAUGGAGGAACACCAGUGGCGAAGGCGACUUUCUGGUCUGUAACUGACGCUGAUGUGCGAAAGCGUGGGGAUCAAACAGGAUUAGAUACCCUGGUAGUCCACGCCGUAAACGAUGAGUGCUAAGUGUUAGGGGGUUUCCGCCCCUUAGUGCUGCAGCUAACGCAUUAAGCACUCCGCCUGGGGAGUACGACCGCAAGGUUGAAACUCAAAGGAAUUGACGGGGACCCGCACAAGCGGUGGAGCAUGUGGUUUAAUUCGAAGCAACGCGAAGAACCUUACCAAAUCUUGACAUCCUUUGACAACUCUAGAGAUAGAGCCUUCCCCUUCGGGGGACAAAGUGACAGGUGGUGCAUGGUUGUCGUCAGCUCGUGUCGUGAGAUGUUGGGUUAAGUCCCGCAACGAGCGCAACCCUUAAGCUUAGUUGCCAUCAUUAAGUUGGGCACUCUAAGUUGACUGCCGGUGACAAACCGGAGGAAGGUGGGGAUGACGUCAAAUCAUCAUGCCCCUUAUGAUUUGGGCUACACACGUGCUACAAUGGACAAUACAAAGGGCAGCGAAACCGCGAGGUCAAGCAAAUCCCAUAAAGUUGUUCUCAGUUCGGAUUGUAGUCUGCAACUCGACUACAUGAAGCUGGAAUCGCUAGUAAUCGUAGAUCAGCAUGCUACGGUGAAU